This 1228-nucleotide long non-coding RNA is filed under the name Papio anubis (olive baboon). Its description in RNAcentral is "lncRNA (ENSPANG00000047740.1)". The record is from RNAcentral. Lineage: Eukaryota; Metazoa; Chordata; Mammalia; Primates; Cercopithecidae.
CUGUAUGUCUGUUCUGAAUUCGAAUCUGUGACUCAAGCAGGUUCGAAACUGCUGGCAAUAGUCCUGGGCGGACGCCAGCUUAUAGGACAGCCAAUGGAGACCGGUGGGAGACGUCCCCUGGCUCUCUUCUGAUUUAAAUUGCGAUCUGAGUUGCCGGAGCGCGUUUGCAAUCCGGGCAACAGCUGACUCUGACCCCGGUUCCCAGGCGCGCGCGUGCGGUCUGAGUUGCCCCGGUUCCCGGGCGCGCGCGUGCGGUCUGAGUUGCCCCGGUUCCCGGGCGCGCGCGUGCGGUCUGAGUUGCCCCGGUUCCCGGGCGCGCCCGCUUGCGGCCCCAGUCCCCAGGCUCCCGGCUUCCGGCGCCGCGCUUGCGGCCCCGGUCCCCGGACUCCCGCCUUCCGGCGCCGCGCUUGCGGCUCCGGUCCCCGGGCUCCCGGCUUCCGGCGCGGUUCCUGGGCGCGCACGCUUGCGGCCCCGGUCCCCGGGCUCCCGGCUUCCGGCGCCGCGCUUGCAGCCCCGGUCCCCAGGCUCCUGGCUUCCGGCGCGGAUUUCCUUUACAGGGAUUGUAACCCACAUUCCUUUACAGGAAGAGACACAGAAAGAAAUAGGACCCCCAGAUGACACAGGAAUCCCCAAGCUCCAGUACUGGCCAUUCUCCACCAGUGAUCUGUAUAACUAGAAGACUCAGAGUGCUCGGUUUUCAGACAACCCCAAAGAUUUACUGGCUUUACUGGAUAGUGUCAUGUUCACCCACCAGCCCACUUGAGAUGAUUGUCAGCAGCUCCUCCGAAUCUUGUUUACCAUGGAAGAGCGAGAGAGAAUACAGGCCGGCGUAGGACUACAACACGGCAGAAGAUUUCCAAGCCGAAAUUCUAGAUCCUACGUCUCUAUUGCGGGCCCUAAAAGUCGCUGUUUCACUAAGCUUUGGAACCUGACUCCGGGAAAUCUCAUUCUUUCCUCCCAAAGAUUUCAGCCGAAAAGAGAAAUCGGCGAGGCAGCCUCUUCAAGCGCCGGAGCUGGGAGCGCGGGUUCUGAUCCUCGGUCGCCGGGCCGGACUCCCGCAGGGCCACGGAAAGCUUGCUGUUCUCAGCUCCAUUGGCUUUUCUGGACAACCAGCAAGAUAAACUCACCAGUUACAUUAAUAAAAAAGAAACACAAAUGGUACAUAUGCUUGAAAAGAAACGUAAGUCUGUAUAUUUCUUUUGAAGAAACACAAAAGGAGGAGGAAUGA